Molecule: ribosomal RNA, 464 nt
Filed under: uncultured bacterium
Lineage: Bacteria
Description: partial 16S ribosomal RNA
Rfam family: Bacterial small subunit ribosomal RNA
Source: RNAcentral
GACGAACGCUGGCGGCGUGCUUAACACAUGCAAGUCGAACGGUAAGGCCCCAGCUUGCUGGGCUACACGAGUUGCGAACGGGUGAGUAACACGUGGGUGACCUGCCCCGCACUUCGGGAUAAGCCUGGGAAACUGUGUCUAAUACCGGAUACGACCACACCGUGCGUGACUUGUGGUUAGUUUUUCGGUGUGGGUUGGUCCCGCGUCCUAUCAGGUUGUUGGUGGGGUAAUGGCCUACCAAGGCGGCGACGGGUAGCCGGACUGAGAGGGUGAACGGCCACAGUGGGACUGAGACACCGGCAAGACUCAUACGGGAGGAAGCAGUGGGGAAUAGUGCGCGAUGGGCGGAAGCCGUAAGCAGCGACGCCGCGUGGUAGAGGACGGUCGUAGGGUUGUAACCUCCUUGCGCCAGCGAAGAAGGUUUUGUGACGGUAGAUGGAGAAGAAGCACCGGCUAACUACGUG